GGGGCCGAUCGGUUUUGACAGCAGGUGGAAUUGAAAAGUAAGCACGUCGAGCGCUCAUACACAGCUCGUAAAUAUCAUGAAUGAACUUUUUUUUACACGGCGAAGAUAACUACGCUUUAGCUGCUUAAUCCGAAUUAUAGUAAGAUUUGAGCCUUGUCCUAUUAGAUAGGAGAGCUAAAUUCCUUAAAGAAGCCUUGAUUUAUGGCGUUUUAACAAAAGGAAUCGUAAAAGUAAAUCUAGAGUAAAUAGCACCUCGGAAGUUACUCGAAACCUUAAGAGGUUAAGCAUAAAGUGGCUGUUUUUGGCAAAGCUUUAUGACGAAAAUCUAAACAAAAACUAAACGUGUAGAAAGCUCUUUGAUUGCUUGUUUGGACCAGGGUUCGAUUCCCUGCGGCUCCACAG
This 402-nucleotide transfer-messenger RNA is filed under the name Paenimyroides baculatum. RNAcentral describes it as "Flavobacterium baculatum Standard tmRNA". It matches the Rfam family "transfer-messenger RNA". Rfam says of the family: Bacterial tmRNA, also known as 10Sa RNA or SsrA, is named for its dual tRNA and mRNA-like properties. Its role is to liberate the mRNA from a stalled ribosome. To accomplish this part of the tmRNA is used as a reading frame that ends in a translation stop signal. The record is from RNAcentral. Lineage: Bacteria; Pseudomonadati; Bacteroidota; Flavobacteriia; Flavobacteriales; Flavobacteriaceae.